GACGAAGGGGGCUAGCGUUGUUCGGAAUUACUGGGCGUAAAGCGCGUGUAGGCGGUUGCCCUAGUCAGGUGUGAAAGCCUUGAGCUUAACUCAAGAAAUGCACUUGAUACUGGGCGACUAGAGGACCGGAGAGGAUAGUGGAAUUCCCAGUGUAGUGGUGAAAUACGUAGAGAUUGGGAAGAACACCAGUGGCGAAGGCGGCUAUCUGGACGGUUUCUGACGCUAAGACGCGAAAGCGUGGGGAGCAAACAGG
RNAcentral lists this ribosomal RNA (253 nucleotides) under uncultured bacterium. RNAcentral describes it as "partial 16S ribosomal RNA". It matches the Rfam family "Bacterial small subunit ribosomal RNA", at positions 524 to 776 of the family's 1533-position model. The record is from RNAcentral.